CAGCAAGGCGUGGGGUGGGGUGGGGGAGAAGAAGGCAGCCAGCGGGGAGACAGGAGACAUGAAUCGAUAAGCACGGAAGGGGCGAAAAUUCACAACAAACUGAAGAAUCUCAACCUCCUGGAGGAAAGUUAAUCGAUAAACUAAUUAACUGUUUGCAAGCUUUGUAAUUGCUUGAUCAGAAGAAUUAGGAUGAGGGAUUGGAGGUUGCACGAUAUCCAGGGAUAAAGGCCAAAAUCAUAGAACCCUUGGCUGCUUUUUUUUUUCCCAAAUUGCAUUUGAUUUUAUUGCACUAGGAAGGGGGAAAUUAUUUUUCUUCUUUUUUUUAAACAAAAUAAUCAAGGGGGAAAGGAGAAGGGGAAAAUGCCAUUUCAUUAAGGCGAGAUCAGAGGAUUUAAAAUAUAUAUAUAUUUUUUUUUUGCCCCUCAAACUGCUGGCGGCUUUUGAUCUCUUUGUCUGUUUCACCGAGACGACCGUCAAGUCCAGGUUGGGAUUCCGUUUAUUUCAUUGCUACAUCUUUUUUUUUUUUUUUUUUUUGGUUACUGUUCCGAAUUCGAGGCUUGCUCUAGCUUGCUCUUUUUUUGGACCAAUGAAGGAACCAGACGCCAUCAAACUUUUCAUCGGACAAAUCCCUAGGAAUCUCGAAGAGAAGGACCUUAAGCCCAUCUUUGAACAGUUUGGCAAGAUCUACGAGUUGACGGUCAUUAAGGAUAAAUACACUGGCAUGCAUAAAGGAUGCGCUUUCCUGACCUACUGUGCCCGCGAAUCUGCCCUCAAAGCCCAAAGUGCUCUUCAUGAGCAGAAAACACUGCCAGGGAUGAACCGACCCAUCCAGGUGAAACCAGCAGACAGUGAAAGCAGAGGAGAAGACAGGAAGCUGUUUGUGGGGAUGCUGGGUAAGCAACAGACAGACGAGGACGUCCGGAAAAUGUUUGAGCCCUUUGGCAGUAUCGACGAGUGCACGGUACUCCGCGGGCCCGAUGGCACCAGCAAAGGCUGUGCCUUUGUGAAGUUCCAGACACACGCAGAAGCGCAGGCAGCCAUCAACACGUUGCACGGCAGUCGCACGUUGCCGGGCGCCUCCUCGAGCCUCGUGGUGAAAUUCGCGGACACGGAAAAGGAAAGAGGUCUCCGGCGCAUGCAGCAAGUGGCCAACCAGCUGGGCAUGUUCAGCCCCAUCGCAUUGCAGUUCGGGGCGUACAGCGCCUAUACCCAAGCACUAAUGCAGCAGCAGGCAGCGCUGGUUGCUGCGCACUCCGCCUACCUCAACCCCAUGGCGACGAUGGCCGCCGUCCAGAUGCAGCAAAUGGCCACCAUCAACCCCAACGGCCUCAUCGCCACCCCCAUCACGCCCUCCUCAGGUACCAGCACGCCGCCCACUAUUGCUGCCACACCAGUGUCUGCCAUCCCGGCCACCCUCAGCGUCAAUGGGUACAGCCCCGUCCCCACGCAGAGCACGGGACAGCCUGCCUCUGAGGCCAUCUACACCAAUGGUGUCCACCCAUAUCCAGCACAGAGCCCGGCCGCCCCUGUGGACCCGUUGCAGCAGGCCUACGCUGGGAUGCAGCACUAUACAGCUGCCUACCCCGCUGCCUACGGCCUGGUGAGCCCAGCCUUCCCUCAGCAACCAGCCGCUAUCAUCACCCAGCAACCUCCUCCCCAGCAGCAGCAGCAGCGGGAAGGUCCCGAAGGCUGUAACAUCUUCAUUUACCACCUGCCGCAGGAGUUUACGGACUCAGAGAUCUUGCAGAUGUUCCUCCCCUUCGGGAACGUAAUCUCUGCCAAAGUCUUUGUCGAUCGGGCCACUAAUCAAAGCAAAUGUUUCGGAUUCGUGAGUUUUGACAAUCCCGCCAGCGCUCAGGCUGCCAUCCAGGCCAUGAACGGCUUCCAGAUUGGCAUGAAGCGGCUCAAGGUCCAGCUCAAGCGGCCCAAAGAUGCCAACCGGCCGUACUGAACUGCCAUCCACCAGCACAACCCGCCUCCUCCUCGCGGGCAGGGUCCCCGCCAUAUCUUGAGAGGACUCUGUUCCUAGCGCCACCCUUCGCUCGCUGUCGCGGGAGACCUAGCUCCGCCCCCCUUGACUGGAGCUCAACGGAGGAGCAAAGUCCGCUAAAUUCUUGUCCCCUGCCCAUUCCUACUCCCGAGUUCCCCCUCUUCCUUGGCUCUUCUUCCUCCUCAUAGAUCACAGAAAGCCGCCUGUUCCCAAAGUCGAGGGACUCCGCUUUCUUUGCCAGCUCUAACCCGAAGGAUCUCCAGUUGCGUCCAACCGACUCCUCUUCCGGGGACAGAUUCGAUCAGAUGGGCUUCGCCAGACGUUUCUGCCCCCAGUCCACUUGGAUUCUGCCCCUGCCCUCUCUCUCUCUCACACACACACACACACUCACUCAGCCAAGGAGCACUGUGGGGACCAGAGUGCCAAGCACCCAGCCUGCAAAAGGCCUUUUGCAAACAGAAGCUCGCAUUUCAAGAAAGGACCCCUCAGGGCUCGGACCAGACAACUUGGGCAGAAGAAAAGGAGAGCCCCAGGACCAACCCAGAUAGACACCCAACCGCCUUUCGGGCCCGCAGCAUGACCCCUUCCCCUAAGCUGCUCCUGUACACCAGUGGAUGAUGCAGGGUUCUAGCAAAGUAGCGGAUGCUGCCGCAGGGGGGCCACUGGGAGAGUUUUUGGAUAAAGUAAAGUAAUAAUCCACCCCCAGCCAGCCAGCCUCUAAAUGGCAGGAGAACCUCGUUCUGGCGGUGGGGUUGCUGGGAAAGAGAGGAUUCCAGACUGGCUUGCAGAAGCAGUUGGAGAGAGAAUUGGGAAGCUACCUAUUAUUGUAUAUCUAUUUUUUGCCACAGUCGUCUUCCCAGACAGAUCUGCAGCUCUGAGGUAGGCCGUGGCUGAAGGACAUGCCCCGCUCUGGCCAAAUGAGGUUUGCCAGCUUUUUUCCUGGCAGGGUGUCUGUGCCUUUAAUUGCAACAUUUCUCCAAACGGGCUGAGGGAUGCUUCACUCUUAAAACUCCAGAAGGCGGCUAAGAUUAGCUGCCCACAGAGGAGGACGAGCCGAGCCUCCUCCGGGCUCCCCAGGAGUCAUUCAGUCGUCUCCGGAGAGCUGCUUGCUUGACUGGCAGGAGGCCAGCGCCGUGACUCCUACAGCGGCACAGAGUCCAAGAGGAGAGAACUCUGCUAACCAAGCUCUGAUGCAGAUGCAAAGCUCUGGCAGGAAGGAGACCCAGGAGGCCUCCUGCAUAAGCAGCUGCUUUGGAAUCGCAGGAUGUUGCUCACGGCCCAUCUGCAGUAAUCUCACAGCCCACCAGUCGGAAACGAGGAUGCAGCAGGCAACUAACUGCUUGUUCACCAGCACAGAGGUGCUGUAAUGAAGAUGCAUCACUGAAUCUUUUCCCGAUGUUAAAGGCACAGGUGUCCUGAUGGGGGUGUUGGGGGAGAGUUGGCAACCCUGCCAUAAACACAUUUUGCUUACCACCUAAGUACGCAGGCUACCCGGGUUACAGAGUGUGAGAACUCUUUCACAGCGCCAGAGGACGGCCUGGAGGAACCAGGAUAGAUAGGAGAUCGCUUGGGAACUUCCUAUACGAUGCCACUUUUUCAAGGAGGAGCUGGAUGCAAAUCCAACAUUAUAAAUACAAAAUUUAUGGAUUCGACAUAACUCUCUCUCACGCCCACACCCCUGCCCCACUGUUUCCUUCCUGGCUGGCCACCGGCUGGCAUUUCAACCACAAGAUGCCGUGAUGGGAGAAUUCCACCACGGCCAAGUGGCAUUUGAGGACACCACUGGGCCAGUUAAGGCACCUGAGUUGGGUAUCCAGCCAGGAAGGACCAGGGUGCAGAGGACACAUGCCCCACCUCCAAAGCCUGGCUGGCAUCCUUCCUCGAAGCCUAUCCCUUCCAAGACGGAAACAAAGACAGAAGGACACAUGCACCACCUCCAGGGCUAUGUUACGUGGGUCGAUAAGAAGCCUACGGGAAGAUCUUGGAUUGAUCCACCUGCUCUCCUGCAGACCAGCCGACUCCGCCAUGAAACUCGCAAAGAUUUUGCCGUUGAACCUUCUGACAUUCCGGAAACUGUUUGAACGUUGACUUGGGUCCAUUCCAGCCAGGAGAUUUCGGAAGCUUCUCUCUUUCCAUUUUGCCCCCUCUCUCUACCCAGAGAGCUCCUUUUCAAACACGCAUUCCCUCAGCCCAGGGUCCCUUUGGGGGCUUCCCAAGUGGCAAUUUUGAACUCUCUCUCGCCUCAUCUUUUCGCAAGGCAGUCCUGACUGAGUCCAAAGACCAGGCACAAAAUACACUCCGCAUUGCGUUGCUGCUCAUCCCCCAUCCACCUCAACCAUUCUUGAUGGGAGGAGUGGGAGAGAAAGAUCUGGAGGACAGUCACCCACGGAAAUCAAACAGAAGAAGGGGAAAUCCAGCUCACAUGUCUCAAAGGCAAACAUGGUUUGCUAGAACAGAACCAGAACAUGCAAGGGGUCUAUCUGCUUUGAGCAUUUCUACACCCUCAACUCAGUGCUGGAAUCCAGAGCUGGGAGUCGGACCUUUAUGGUGUUGAGGCAGCCCUUGGGAAAUUCAAAAUGGACUCAACGCUUGUUUGAUUGGAGGGGGAAACAGGACACAGGGGCAACUCAGGGUUAGUACCAAAGCUGGAGCGUUAUUACCACAGAUGUCCUAAAUCCGUACUCUGUAACUAGCGGAAGCCUCCUGAACCCACCCCCAAGAACUGGACGCAAUAUCCACACCCCAGCCCCAUUGGACCUCUCUCAGAGUUGCAGCGAGAGAACGUUUUCCUGACCUGUCUGCUCUCCCUCUCCCCACACACACCCCACCCCACCCCACCCCGUUGGCGUGUGCUCAAGUUACUCCUUUCAACCCAGAGCUGUCCACACAGCCAAAGCCUUGAGUGAAUUUCCUGCCCCAUUGCAAAGCAAAGUUUUGCUGUCCUCAUACUUCUCCUCCAUGAGCCCACACCUGGCCCUUUCCCCCUGCAUCUCCAUAAAGCAAUUGUAUUUUUUAAAAAGGAGGGGGGGGACAUGAUUUCUGUCCAUGCUCAGAAACCUUUCACACUCACAAACAUUCUAAAAUCAAGGUGAUACAACAAAAUGAAAGAGAGGAAGAAAUAAGAAAUUAAAAAUAUGUUUACAGUCUCUUGCUGAUCCAGUAAUUGUAAAUAAUUCCAUUGCGAUAAGCUGCAAUUAAAUUUUAAAAAAGGGUUUUCAAUCCAUCACCAUUUUACCUUUACUGAUUUUAGAAGAUUUUAAAAUCUUGCUUUCUCUUUCUCUCUCUUUCUGUCUCCCUUUUUUCCUUUUAUUUUCCCUUCUAGGGUGGGAGGUGGGUUUAUUACUUGAUCAUUUAAUUUAGAAGGACAAAAAAGGAAAAGGAAAAAGUUUUAAAAACACACCAGAUGAACUUUUAGUGGGGGGCGGGGGGUGGGUUUAAAAUG
This is an RNA transcript of Hemicordylus capensis (graceful crag lizard), 5432 nucleotides long. It is a transcript of the gene named CUGBP Elav-like family member 3, with no coding region annotated. The record is from RefSeq and is a predicted model, not a curated record. NCBI's taxonomy places the organism in Eukaryota, Metazoa, Chordata, Lepidosauria, Squamata, Cordylidae. The transcript has 14 exons.